Long non-coding RNA from Physella acuta, 624 nucleotides. RefSeq lists it as uncharacterized. The record is from RefSeq and is a predicted model, not a curated record. NCBI's taxonomy places the organism in Eukaryota, Metazoa, Mollusca, Gastropoda, Physidae.
AGCUAAUAUUCCAGCCAUUUUGUUUUGACGAGAGCUAGUCCAGAUCUAGACUAGAUCUACUUGAUCAACGAUUUACACUGAUGUAAAACCUACGUAAAUCAAAUCUACAAGAUCAGGAUUUACAUUUAGAUCUAGAAAUCUACAUUAUUGACUAGAGAGAAAAAGUUAAAAGUAUGCCUAGUGCGUCGAAAGUUCAUCCAAAAAAAAGGGAAGAUCUGAUUUUUACCAGUAAUAAGACUACAGCAUACUAAAUGACACAAGAUGUUCUUUCUCUAUUACCUCUUACAUUUGACAUAAAAGUAGGAAAAGGUUUAACAGUCUAUGCCUACAACAUAGAUCUCCAGGACUAAAAGUACACAAAAUGGCAAUCAGUAUAUCACAAGUGUAAUAACACAUGCAUCUAAUCUGCUUCAGUGGCGAGAACUGGGUGAAUCCUCUCAAACAUUAAUCAGGAACUAGGCAUACCUAAUGAGCGUCAAGCUGAUACAGUAGAUGUACAGAAGAGUUUAUACACAAGGAAGUGAAAAGUGAUGUAAAAGGCAACUAAUACUUCCAUCUACCAUAGUUAAACAAGAAUCUGCAAAUGGUGAUAAUUGCAAUAAUCUUGAUAUAUUAAUGUAUGGC